Molecule: unclassified non-coding RNA, 546 nt
Filed under: Schoenus unispiculatus
Lineage: Eukaryota; Viridiplantae; Streptophyta; Magnoliopsida; Poales; Cyperaceae
Description: partial external transcribed spacer
Source: RNAcentral
GAGUUGUUGUGGACAUGCUCUGCACGGCGGGUUCCCUGCAUAUGUUUGCAGCCAACCGUCGUGGGGCUGUCUUUUCACUGUUCCUCCCGAUGUGCUUUUUUUGCAGGGCGGAGGGACGCUCGCUGUCGGUUGCCUGUGUGGUUCUACCCUAGUGCGGUACAAAGGUGGGCUUGACAAUAGUUUUCUGCUUGCGCCGUCGGCACGUGCUGCCGUCGGCUCAGCUGAAAUGUUGGCAUAAUGCUUGUGCGGCUGUGGGCUGAUCCGUUUGGCUCCAGUACUGCACACGCAUUUUUGUCGGCUCUCACGGAUGUGGUGCGCAUUGAGGAAUCCAUGCGUCUUCGGUCGCUGGAUUACUUCGGGACGUCCCUUGCACGGGCCGUCGCUCCUUUGCUUCGCUUCGGGGCGAGCUCCCGUGCCAGCGAGAUGGUUGCCCGGUUGAAAGAGCGAUUGCCGGAUCUCGUCGUGUGAAGGCGCUCCCGUUGAGGGCGUGCCGGAAGCGACUUGUCGGCUCUCGUCGAGGACGUGCUACCUGUGUUGAUCCUGCCA